RNAcentral lists this ribosomal RNA (484 nucleotides) under uncultured bacterium. Its description in RNAcentral is "partial 16S ribosomal RNA". It matches the Rfam family "Bacterial small subunit ribosomal RNA", at positions 30 to 507 of the family's 1533-position model. The record is from RNAcentral.
AUUGAACGCUGGCGGCAGGCCUAACACAUGCCAGUCGAGCGGAUGAAGGGAGCUUGCUCCUGGAUUCAGCGGCGGACGGGUGAGUAAUGCCUAGGAAUCUGCCUGGUAGUGGGGGAUAACGUCCGGAAACGGGCGCUAAUACCGCAUACGUCCUGAGCGAGAAAGUGGGGGAUCUUCGGACCUCACGCUAUCAGAUGAGCCUAGGUCGGAUUAGCUAGUUGGUGGGGUAAAGGCCUACCAAGGCGACGAUCCGUAACUGGUCUGAGAGGAUGAUCAGUCACACUGGAACUGAGACACGGUCCAGACUCCUACGGGAGGCAGCAGUGGGGAAUAUUGGACAAUGGGCGAAAGCCUGAUCCAGCCAUGCCGCGUGUGUGAAGAAGGUCUUCGGAUUGUAAAGCACUUUAAGUUGGGAGGAAGGGCAGUAAGUUAAUACCUUGCUGUUUUGACGUUACCAACAGAAUAAGCACCGGCUAACUUCGUG